Molecule: ribosomal RNA, 253 nt
Filed under: uncultured bacterium
Lineage: Bacteria
Description: partial 16S ribosomal RNA
Rfam family: Bacterial small subunit ribosomal RNA
Source: RNAcentral
GACGAACCGUGCGAACGUUGUUCGGAAUCACUGGGCUUAAAGGGCGCGUAGGCGGGCCAGCAAGUCAGGGGUGAAAGCCCACGGCUCAACCGUGGAAGUGCCUCUGAUACUGUUGGCCUCGAGGGAGGUAGGGGCGUGCGGAACUUCCGGUGGAGCGGUGAAAUGCGUAGAUAUCGGAAGGAACACCUGUGGCGAAAGCGGCGCACUGGACCACAACUGACGCUGAGGCGCGAAAGCUAGGGGAGCAAACAGG